UCUGCGACGACGAACACCAACAAAGCCUAAAACACAAAUUCUCUCACAUCUGCACCAAAAACCCUAAACACAUACUUCCUUUUCACUUUCUCUCUACGACGACGAACACCAACAAGGGUUCCUUCUCUGAGCGUAGUCUCUGCGACGAACGAACAUGAAUAGGACUUCCGAUUCAACUACCGCUUUUGGUCUUCUGAUUCCAAGGUUAGUUCCAUUUCGAUUUUGGUCUUUUCUUCAUUCUCCAAUGGAUUCUCAUUCCAAUUUCGUGUUCGUCGCUGUGGGUUUUCUCCUCAUCUUCAUCCAUUGACUAAUCUGUGGAUUUUCAAUUUCGUGUUCCAAUUUUGUGUUCGUCGCUGCCACUACCAUCUUCGAAUUCAUUCGCUGUGGGUUUUCUCCUCAUCUAUUGUGCCGACACUUCUUAACCUACAGGUAUCUCUCUUUCUUCAGUAUGUAGCUCCAAACUUAUUUAAUCUCAAUUUUAUGUGUUGUGUGAUGUUGUGUUUUCUUAAGUUCAAUUUGUUUUGUAAAUCUAGUUUAGAUUUAGUUUCUAUAAGUAGAUUUGCAUAAGAUUGUGUAAGUUAAAUUUGUGUGAGUGUGUUUAUGUGCUGCAAUUAAGGUAAAUUUCCCUCGGUGGUGUUUCUGGAAAAUUUCCUCAGUAUUAUAAUGCAUAUUAUGAUUUGGUGGUAACUACAACUGUACAACUGUGACACGGUCGUAGAAUGUUAUUAUAAUCUG
This 735-nucleotide long non-coding RNA is filed under the name Trifolium pratense (red clover). RNAcentral's name for it is "long non-coding RNA (TPRA_LNC002239)". The record is from RNAcentral. Lineage: Eukaryota; Viridiplantae; Streptophyta; Magnoliopsida; Fabales; Fabaceae.